This 345-nucleotide unclassified non-coding RNA is filed under the name soil metagenome. RNAcentral's name for it is "partial contains 5.8S ribosomal RNA, internal transcribed spacer 2, and large subunit ribosomal RNA". The stretch from base 1 to 120 matches the Rfam family "5.8S ribosomal RNA", at positions 35 to 154 of the family's 154-position model. The record is from RNAcentral.
GAUGAAGAACGCAGUGAAAUGCGAUACGUAAUGUGAAUUGCAGAAUUCAGUGAAUCAUCGAGUCUUUGAACGCACAUUGCGCCCCCUGGUAUUCCGGGGGGCAUGCCUGUCCGAGCGUCAUUGCUGCCCUCAAGCACGGCUUGUGUGUUGGGCCUCCGUCCUCCCCCCGGGGGACGGGCCCGAAAGGCAGCGGCGGCACCGCGUCCGGUCCUCGAGCGUAUGGGGCUUCGUCACCCGCUCUUGUAGGCCCGGCCGGCGCUUGCCGACACAUCAAUCUUUUUUCCAGGUUGACCUCGGAUCAGGUAGGGAUACCCGCUGAACUUAAGCAUAUCAAUAAGCGGAGGA